AUGGCGUCGGCAGCGGAGGAGAAGCAUAAGAAUCAGGAGGCGGAGACGGGGUCGGUGAUUGGGGGCAGAGGUCUGGACGUGAGGAAGGACGGGGUGGCGAGGGAGGUGGUGCGGAUGGAGAGGGAGGCGGUGAUCCCCAUCAUCAAGCCCAAACUAGUAAUGAAGCUCGCCGACCUCAUCGAGCAUGAGGUGGAUCGCAAUGAGUUCCUAAAGCUGUGCAAGAAGGUGGAGUACACCAUCAGGGCUUGGUAUCUCCUCCAGUUCGAUGAUUUAAUGCAACUGUACUCACUAUUUGACCCUGUUAAUGGUGAGAAGAGGCUGGAACAGCAGAAUCUGACACCCGAGGAGAUCGAUACUCUUGAAUUCAAUUUCAUGACAUAUCUUUUCCAGAUAAUGGAAAAGAGCAACUUCAAGUUGUUAUCUGAUGAAGAGUAUGAUGUUGCACAGUCUGGAAAAUAUCUUUUGAACCUCCCCAUCAAAGUUGAUGAAUCUAAGCUGGACAAGAAGUUGUUGACAACAUACUUUAAAGAACACCCACAUGAUAAUCUGCCUACAUUUGCUGAUAAGUAUAUUAUCUUCCGUCGUGGCAUUGGGUUCGACCGUACAACUGAUUACUUUGUCAUGGAGAAAGUGGAUGUACUCAUAUCCCGAGUUUGGAGAUUAUUGCAAAGGGUUACCAGGAUUGAUAGGUUGUUCUCUAAGAAACCACAGUCGAAGUCAAGAAACGACAUCAAAAAGACCGACGAAAUUAUUGAAGACACAGAAGAACAAGAGCUAUUUGUCGAACGCAUUCGGCUAGAAAAAAUUGAGCUAAGCAUAAAAAACCUGAUGAGUAAGAUGACAAUUCAAGAACCUACAUUUGAUAGGAUGAUUGUAGUGUACAGGCAGGCUGGCAUGAAGGCUAAGCCUAGUCGUGGAAUAUUUGUAAAGCAUUUCAAAAAUAUUCCAAUGGCUGAUAUGGAAAUUGUUCUGCCAGAGAAGAAGAAUCCCACUUUAACACCAAUGGAUUGGGUCAAGUUUCUUAUUUCUGCUGUUAUAGGUUUGGUCACUCUUGUUGGUUCUCUUGAAAUGCCGAAGGCUGAUGUAUGGGUUGUCAUUGCAAUCAUGUCUGGGGUGAUUGGCUAUUGUGCUAAGAUCUACUUCACGUUUCAGCAAAAUAUGACACUAUAUCAGAAUUUGAUUACAAAAUCAAUGUAUGACAAACAACUUGAUAGUGGGAAAGGAACACUUCUACACUUAUGUGAUGAUGUGAUACAGCAAGAAGUUAAGGAGGUCAUAAUUUCUUACUAUAUUUUAAUGGAGCAAGGGAAGGCAACUAUACAAGAUCUUGAUUUGCAUUGUGAGGAGCUAAUUAAAGAGGAGUUUGGCGCCGAGUGCAAUUUUGAUGUUCACGAUGCUGUAAAGAAGUUAGAGAAGCUUGGCAUCGUUCAUCGGGAUUCGAUUGGUAGAAUCUUAUGUGCUCCGUUGAAGCGUGCCAACGAAAUCAUAGGCACCACUACUGAAGAAAUGGUGACGCGAGCACAACAGAGCCCUGCUUCUUAA
This 1542-nucleotide ribosomal RNA is filed under the name Triticum aestivum (bread wheat). Its description in RNAcentral is "partial small subunit ribosomal RNA". Lineage: Eukaryota; Viridiplantae; Streptophyta; Magnoliopsida; Poales; Poaceae. The record is from RNAcentral.